GAUGAACGCUAGCUACAGGCUUAACACAUGCAAGUCGAGGGGAAACGACAUCGAAAGCUUGCUCUUGGUGGGCGUCGACCGGCGCACGGGUGAGUAACGCGUAUCCAACCUGCCCACCACUUGGGGAUAACCUUGCGAAAGUAAGACUAAUACCCAAUGAUAUCCCACGAAGGCAUCCGAAUGGGAUUAAAGAUUUAUCGGUGAUGGAUGGGGAUGCGUCUGAUUAGCUUGUUGGCGGGUAACGGCCCACCAAGGCAACGAUCAGUAGGGGUUCUGAGAGGAAGGUCCCCCANAUUGGAACUGAGACACGGUCCAAAACUCCUACGGGAGGCAGCAGUGAGGAAUAUUGGUCAAUGGGCAGAGCCUGAACCAGCCAAGUAGCGUGCAGGACGACGGCCCUAUGGGUUGUAAACUGCUUUUAUAAGGGAAUAAAGUGGGUCACGUGUGACUUUUUGCAUGUACCUUAUGAAUAAGGACCGGCUAAUUCCGUG
This 491-nucleotide ribosomal RNA is filed under the name uncultured bacterium. Its description in RNAcentral is "bacterial SSU rRNA". It matches the Rfam family "Bacterial small subunit ribosomal RNA", at positions 28 to 507 of the family's 1533-position model. The record is from RNAcentral.